This 460-nucleotide ribosomal RNA is filed under the name uncultured bacterium. RNAcentral's name for it is "partial 16S ribosomal RNA". It matches the Rfam family "Bacterial small subunit ribosomal RNA", at positions 338 to 795 of the family's 1533-position model. The record is from RNAcentral.
CCUACGGGUGACAGCAGUGAGGAAUAUUGGUCAAUGGGCGUAAGCCUGAACCAGCCAAGUCGCGUGAGGGAUUAAGGUUCUAUGGAUCGUAAACCUCUUUUAUAAGGGAAUAAAGUGUGGUACUUGUCCUCUUUUGUAUGUACCUUAUGAAUAAGGAUCGGCUACCUCCGUGCCAGCAGCCGCGGUAAUACGAGGGGUCCUGGCGUUAUCCGGAUUUAUUGGGUGUAAAGGGUGCGUAGGCGGCCUUUUAAGUCGGCGGUGAAAGGCUGUGGCUCAACCAUAGAAUUGCCGGUGAAACUGGGGGGCUUGAGUAUGUUUGAGGCAGGCGGAAUGCGUGGUGUAGAGGUGAAAUGCUUAGAUAUCACGCAGAACCCCGAUUGCGAAGGCAGCCUGCCAAGCCAUGACUGACGCUGAGGCACGAAAGCGUGGGGAUCAAACAGGAUUAGAUACCCUGGUAGUC